UGAGGAAUAUUGCGCAAUGGGGGCAACCCUGACGCAGCAACGCCGCGUGGGUGAAGAAGGCUUUCGGGUUGUAAAGCCCUGUCAGGUGGGAAGAACCCUUUACAGGUGAAUAGUCUGUAAAGCUGACGGUACCACCAAAGGAAGCACCGGCUAACUCCGUGCCAGCAGCCGCGGUAAGACGGAGGGUGCAAGCGUUGUUCGGAAUCACUGGGCGUAAAGCGCGUGUAGGCGGUUCGAUAAGUCGAGUGUGAAAGCCCGAGGCUUAACUUCGGAAGUGCAUUCGAAACUGUCGAGCUUGAGUACGGGAGAGGGAAGUGGAAUUCCUGGUGUAGAGGUGAAAUUCGUAGAUAUCAGGAGGAACACCGGUGGCGAAGGCGGCUUCCUGGACCGAUACUGACGCUGAGACGCGAAAGCGUGGGGAGCAAACA
Molecule: ribosomal RNA, 428 nt
Filed under: uncultured prokaryote
Description: bacterial SSU rRNA
Rfam family: Bacterial small subunit ribosomal RNA
Source: RNAcentral